GUGGGGAAUAUUGCGCAAUGGGGGGAACCCUGACGCAGCAACGCCGCGUGGAGGAAGAAGGCCUUCGGGUCGUAAACUCCUGUCAUUUGGGACGAAGGAUGACGGUACCGAAUGAGGAAGCCACGGCUAACUACGUGCCAGCAGCCGCGGUAAUACGUAGGUGGCGAGCGUUGUCCGGAAUUACUGGGCGUAAAGGGUGCGUAGGCGGUUAUAAAAGUCAGAUGUGAAAUUCCGGGGCUCAACUUCGGAAUUGCAUUUGAAACUUUAUGGCUAGAGUGCAGGAGAGGGAAGCGGAAUUCCUAGUGUAGCGGUGAAAUGCGUAGAUAUUAGGAAGAACACCAGUGGCGAAGGCGGCUUUCUGGACUGUAACUGACGCUGAGGCACGAGAGCGUGGGGAGCAAACAGGAUUAGAAACCCCAGUAGUCC
RNAcentral lists this ribosomal RNA (426 nucleotides) under uncultured bacterium. RNAcentral's name for it is "bacterial SSU rRNA". It matches the Rfam family "Bacterial small subunit ribosomal RNA", at positions 354 to 796 of the family's 1533-position model. The record is from RNAcentral.